CUCAUCACCAUGGUUCCUACACGAGCCGAUUCCAAAGCUGGGCUCUGGGGGAAGGAACCUUUACUCCUACCUUGUUUGUUACCAUCACUCCUCCUCUUGAUAUAAGCAACAGGAAGACUGAAGCUGAGGGAAAGUGACAGAGGAGAAUCCUCCCAUGAGUUGACCUCAUGAUCUCCAUACAUGAGAGGGCAAAGAUGAGAGAGAGAAGCCAAAAUCACAGCAGCAACAGCAGCCAACUUCAGACGCGUAACACAGACAGAACAAGCAACAUCCCACAGCACCGAGGUGUGGAAACUAACCCUAUGGGAGAUUUGGUGACUUCUUUUUAAUCAUCACACCAUGUCAGAGGAGGAGAAUUCAAACAGACGCUUCAGUUCAGAAACACAUAAAAGAAAAUUGAUUUUCAUCCAGAAAAUGUCAAACUCCUGCCUAUAACACUCAGCUAUGCCUUCCUGAAACAGCAGAGUUCAAAAAGAGCCAUCGACCUGACAGAUCUUUGACACUUCAUGAUGGAUGCUACGUAUCUCCUCCUUUAUGGCUAUAACGUCCUCCAACAGAAUGAGACAAUGAAUGAAAAAUAAUAAAUCUAAACUGCAUCAUAAACUAAGUUGUUUUAAGUGUAUUAAAGGAGAAACAACAGGACCUCUACCACUCUGGAAAGAGACUUAUAAACUUUCAAGUUAACACUUGUGUAUUUCUUGUUUAGCUAAGUCCAUUGUGUUAUGAAUCAACCUAUAUAAGUUGUACCAUUCAACAAGGUUAAACUUUAAAAUGUAUAAAG
Phascolarctos cinereus (koala) is the source of this 781-nucleotide long non-coding RNA. RefSeq lists it as uncharacterized. Lineage: Eukaryota; Metazoa; Chordata; Mammalia; Diprotodontia; Phascolarctidae. The record is from RefSeq and is a predicted model, not a curated record.